Lotus japonicus is the source of this 1236-nucleotide long non-coding RNA. RefSeq lists it as uncharacterized. NCBI's taxonomy places the organism in Eukaryota, Viridiplantae, Streptophyta, Magnoliopsida, Fabales, Fabaceae. The transcript is spliced from 3 exons. The record is from RefSeq and is a predicted model, not a curated record.
UCAAUGCUUUUUCUCUCUCUCACUAUCUCUUUUCUCUCCCUCAUUAAAUCCGGCCACAUUUAUUUUUGAUUUCCAAUGCUUCUCUGUUCAUCCUUCAACCAGAAUAUUUUCCACACACGUCUUCCAAGCUUGCACUCCUCCCAAAUAUCACCUCUCAACCACUCACAAUAAUUUCACACCAACAAUUCAUGGCAAUUUUGAAUUUCAAAUUCAAAAGUUUGUGGCUAUCUAUACUAUCCCUAAAUACUUUUCUAUCAUUUUCAACAGAUCUGUUUAUCAAAGAAAAACUCACCUGACUUUGCAUCUGAUUUCUUAUUACAAAGAUUUUUUGAACUAUGGGUACACCAAGUGAGAAAAGUUGGCCAUGAUUAUCCAAAUUACCUUGCUAUAAAGCAAAUGUUGUUAAGCAACCGUUGUGAAUGAGAUACUUGGCUGGGCUAUGAGGUUCCUUCACACAGGAUGCUCUCAAAGAUUUCUUAAAUUGUUGGAACAAUACAAGCAAUCUUCACUCUACCAUGUCCCCAUCUAUUUGGGAAAAUUGUAUACAUGUAUACACUCCUGAUCAGACAGUCAAUGACCAUUUGAGCUAAGUCUUCUAUAUAGAAUUUCUUGACUACAAAAUCUCUAUUUGUUUGAACAUGAUUAUGAUGGUUAAGUUUUUUCUUUAUACUCAAAUGCAGUUUUGUCCUAGCUGUUUUCAUGAGAUCUUUUGUGUUUGGUCUUUUGACUAGAAUUGUUUCUAUUACUGUAAAAUGUUUUUCUAACUUAUCUUAAUAUUCUAACUCUUCACCAAUCUUUAUAAGCAUAUACCCGUUUUAUGCAGGUCCAAAAUGGUAGUUUUUAAAUUUUCACUGAAUGGUAGUUUAAGUUGCACUAAUUUUGUGUCUCUUUUUCUCUUUGUGCUUCUCUCUUGAUAUGCUAUAUUUAGUUUUCCUUACCUUUUUCAGGAAAUUCAUUCACCAGAAUCCGUCCUUCUACAUGGUGCUUUCACUAAGACUUCCACCCUAAGCUUCACAUAUAGAGUUCCUGUUUAUUUUUCUGCUUUGUUUGUUUCUUUUAAAAUGAUGAUAUGUGAUUUCAAUUUUUUCUUUACCUUUUGUUCAGCAUCAAAGAAAUUUGUCUGUUGGAGAAGACUUCCACUGUCAAUCUACAAUGUGAAGACUCAGCAUCUAAAUAAUCUAAAUAAUAUACCGAAAAAUUUACUUCAAGCAAUGGCUAUGAGGAUGUCCAUGUCUA